RNAcentral lists this ribosomal RNA (433 nucleotides) under uncultured bacterium. Its description in RNAcentral is "partial 16S ribosomal RNA". It matches the Rfam family "Bacterial small subunit ribosomal RNA", at positions 29 to 507 of the family's 1533-position model. The record is from RNAcentral.
AACGAACGCUGGCGGCAUGCCUAACACAUGCAAGUCGAACGAUCCCUUCGGGGAUAGUGGCGCACGGGUGCGUAACGCGUGGGAACCUGCCCUUAGGUUCGGAAUAACUCAGAGAAAUUUGUGCUAAUACCGGAUAAUGUCUUCGGACCAAAGAUUUAUCGCCUUUGGAUGGGCCCGCGUUGGAUUAGCUAGUGGGUGGGGUAAAGGCCUACCAAGGCGACGAUCCAUAGCUGGUAUGAGAGGAUGAUCAGCCACACUGGGAGUGAGAAGCGGCCCAGACUCCUACGGGAGGGAGCAGUGGGGAAUAUUGGACAAUGGGCGAAAGCCUGAUGCAGCAAUGCCGGGUGAGUGAUGAAGGCCUUAGGGUUGUAAAGCUCUUUUACCCGGGAUGAUAAUGACGGUACCGGGAGAAUAAGCCCCGGCUAACUCCGUG